GACGAACGCUGGCGGCGCGCUUAACACAUGCAAGUCGAACGGAAAGGCCUGCUUUCCCUUGUGGAUUGCGGGUACUCGAGUGGCGAACGGGUGAGUAACACGUGAGUGAUCUGCCCCCAACUUUGGUAUAAGCCUGGGAAACUGGGUCUAAUUCCCGAUAGGACUGCAGGGUGGUGCCUGUGGUGGAAAACGAUUUUCUAGUGGUUGGGGAUGAGCUCGCGGCCUAUCAGCUUGUUGGUGGGGUAAUGGCCUACCAAGGCGGCGACGGGUAGCCGGCCUGGGAGGGUGGACGGCAACAUUGGGACUGAGAUACGGCCCAGACUCCUACGGGAGGCAGCAGUGGGGAAUAUUACACAAUGGGCGGAAGCCUGAUGCAGCGACGCCGCGUGGGGGAUGACGGCCUUCGGGUUGUAAACUCCUUUCGACCGCGAGGAAGCCACCUGGUUGGAAGGGUGGUGACGGUAGUGGUAGAAGAAGCACCGGCUAACUACGUG
RNAcentral lists this ribosomal RNA (494 nucleotides) under uncultured bacterium. RNAcentral describes it as "partial 16S ribosomal RNA". It matches the Rfam family "Bacterial small subunit ribosomal RNA", at positions 28 to 507 of the family's 1533-position model. The record is from RNAcentral.